Molecule: long non-coding RNA, 1986 nt
Organism: Chelonia mydas (Green sea turtle)
Lineage: Eukaryota; Metazoa; Chordata; Testudines; Cheloniidae
Exons: 2
Source: RefSeq, a predicted model, not a curated record
GGUACAGGAAGUGGUUCCAGGUUUGGGGGGGCUCAGGGCUGGGGCAGGGGAUUGGGCUGCGGGGUUGGGGUGCGGACUUGCCUGAGGCGGCUCCCGGUCCGCAGCGCCGCUGGGGUGCAAAGGCAGGCUUCCCACCUGUCCUGGAACCGUGGACCGCGCUGCACCGCGGAAGUGGCCAGCAGAAGGUCCGGCUCCUAGGUGGAGGCGCGCAAGUGGCUUCACGUGACUCUCGCCUGCAGGCACCGCCGUUCCCAUUGGCUGGUUCCCAGCCAAUGGGAGUGCGGAGCUGGUGCUCAGGGCAGGGGCAGCGCGCAGAGCCCCGGGGCCCCCCGUCUAGAAGCUGGACCCGCUGCUGGCUGCUUCCAGGGCACAGCGCGGUGUCGAAACAGGCGCUAGCCUCCCUCAGCUGGGCAGCUCCACCAAUGGGACUUUUAGCGUCCCGGUCAGCAGUGCUGACCAGAGCGACCCGGUGCCUGACAUGCUGCGACCCAGAGUCUGAAAAGCGCUGAUCUAGAGCACUCGCAGUCACAAAGCACGAUUAAGACCAUGUACCAUGUGAGCAAAGCUUGAAUCAUCAGCUUGCCUGUUCUCUGGCAGCAGGCUCAGCCCCCACGCUGCCGGGAACUAAGAAAGAAUUGACUGUCCAUGUGAAGGUUACAGAUGGAUGGAAUGCGUAAGGGAAUACAGUGGGAAGAAAAUGAAAUCUGAAAGAGAACAGCUAAUCCAAGGGCUGGAUGGGCACUGUUUGGGAAGUCCUCACUCUGCUUUAAGGACCAGAGCCAAUAGCCAUUGAACUCAAUGACAGGUUUCAGAGUAGCAGCCGUGUUAGUCUGUAUUCGCAAAAAGAACAGGAGUACUUGUGGCACCUUAGAGACUAACCAAUUUAUCUGAGCAUAAGCUUUCGUGAGCUACAGCUCACUUCAUCCGAAGCCAAUGCACCAGGUAUUUUCCACUGAAUGCAUCCAGUGAAGUGAGCUGUAGCUCACGAAAGCUUAUGCUCAGAUAAAUUUGUUGAACUCAAUGGGUGCCUUUCCAUUAAUGCCAAGGGGCUUUGAAUAAGGACCUCCUAUAGCGUUGUGACCAUACUUCCAUGUGUUCUCUUUCCCAGUUUAGUUUUGCUGUGCAGCUUGUAGGACAUGCCAAUUCUUUCGCCCUGUCUUUUUGCGCUGAUUAGAUUCACGGUUUCAAGGGUGAUGAUGAUUUUUGCAUACUUAAAAAAAAAAAAAAAUCAAAGCCUUUGCAAUCUCACAAUAACAUGGCUUUUGUUACACAAAAUAUGGAUUGUUUCUUUUAAGGAGUUUAGGCUGUUACGUGGAUCUAUUCCAAUACCUGUGGCUCAAGGCUUGGAGAUAGAGCCACAGAUUUUAACGUCAGAAGGGACCUCUGGCGGAACACAGGCCAAAGAACUUCAUCCCCUAACACCCUGUGAUGGUGUGCUUUAAAGCGACAUCUUCUGCAUUCUUGCUGUCAGGCUGUUCUUUAAUAUUAUUGUUUCCAAUAAAAUACUAACAGGUUGGUCUGAAAAUUGGCAAUGUAACUAAGUAGCUGCCUCUCCACUAAAGUCAAUGAAGUUACACCAGUCACAAAGAGCUAUUACUCCAGACCAGACAACUAAUAUUGGUAAUUAACACGAUAGCAUAGGCAUGGAUAUUUUGGGGGAAAAAAAUCAGAGGCUGUGCAAGAAAAAGGGCAUGGGAUAAAAAUCUCAGAUAUUGCUUUGUACUUCAGAUAGUCUCCUUUUCUAUUUGCUAUGCAAACCUGUCAUAGUGCAGCAAUAAAAGGUUCCUCUUGCAUUAGAGAAUUGAGGGCAUUCUGUCCGGUUACCCAUUAACUACUCUUCCAGCUCCACAUGAAUCGGGAUGUGGGUUCAGGGUGUUGUUGCCAGGGAGGCGGUUUGUCUUGCUGCAUACGGGACAAUGCAAACUUUUAUUAAAUGCUUUAAAAGAAAAAAAAAUACAUUAAACAUUUUACAUAAAAAUGAUCAAA